RNAcentral lists this ribosomal RNA (531 nucleotides) under Micrococcaceae bacterium NASA2-50. Its description in RNAcentral is "bacterial SSU rRNA". It matches the Rfam family "Bacterial small subunit ribosomal RNA", at positions 953 to 1481 of the family's 1533-position model. Lineage: Bacteria; Bacillati; Actinomycetota; Actinomycetes; Micrococcales; Micrococcaceae. The record is from RNAcentral.
GAUGCAACGCGAAGAACCUUACCAAGGCUUGACAUGUUCUCGAUCGCCGUAGAGAUACGGUUUCCCCUUUGGGGCGGGUUCACAGGUGGUGCAUGGUUGUCGUCAGCUCGUGUCGUGAGAUGUUGGGUUAAGUCCCGCAACGAGCGCAACCCUCGUUCCAUGUUGCCAGCACGUAAUGGUGGGGACUCAUGGGAGACUGCCGGGGUCAACUCGGAGGAAGGUGAGGACGACGUCAAAUCAUCAUGCCCCUUAUGUCUUGGGCUUCACGCAUGCUACAAUGGCCGGUACAAUGGGUUGCGAUACUGUGAGGUGGAGCUAAUCCCAAAAAGCCGGUCUCAGUUCGGAUUGGGGUCUGCAACUCGACCCCAUGAAGUCGGAGUCGCUAGUAAUCGCAGAUCAGCAACGCUGCGGUGAAUACGUUCCCGGGCCUUGUACACACCGCCCGUCAAGUCACGAAAGUUGGUAACACCCGAAGCCGGUGGCCUAACCCUUGUGGGGGGAGCCGUCGAAGGUGGGACCAGCGAUUGGGAC